ACGUUCGGGAGAAGGUGGCGGCGUCUCCUGGGCCUCCGCCUCCUGCAUCUCUGAAACCAGUGAGCACUGGAGAAGAGGGGUUAAUAAGACCUAUGUGGAAAUAACUCUUUAAUCAUCAAGGUUGCUUGUAGGAGCAUUGGGAUAGAUCCAGAUGUCAAGAAAACACUUAAGAAUUCUGGUAGGGGGAAAAAAAAAAGAAUUCUGGUAGGAAUACAAAUCCAUCUCACCCGUUUGGAUUUCUCAGGGCGGAAGAAAUUUCAUCUCAAGGACUUGCUGAAAACAUGUUCAAAAUGUUGAGGAGGCCACGUGAUAAAGGUUUUCAUAAAUAUUUCCUCAAACCAGAUGGCAAUGAUUCAGGGUAAAGAAGCCCUUUGAAAAUCACUGUUCUGGGUUUUACUAAUAACCUGACCCAUUCAGAAGAUGUGGGAGUUCACUUCAGGAAGCUACUGGGAAAAAUAAAAUUUGUUGAGUGAAUACCUACA
Molecule: long non-coding RNA, 482 nt
Filed under: Bos indicus x Bos taurus (hybrid cattle)
Lineage: Eukaryota; Metazoa; Chordata; Mammalia; Artiodactyla; Bovidae
Description: lncRNA (ENSBIXG00005009971.1)
Source: RNAcentral